RNAcentral lists this ribosomal RNA (555 nucleotides) under Stemphylium sp. MAFF 306733. RNAcentral's name for it is "eukaryotic LSU rRNA". The stretch from base 193 to 346 matches the Rfam family "5.8S ribosomal RNA". The record is from RNAcentral. Lineage: Eukaryota; Fungi; Ascomycota; Dothideomycetes; Pleosporales; Pleosporaceae.
CUGCGGAGGGAUCAUUACACAAUAUGAAAGCGGGUUGGGACCUCACCUCGGUGAGGGCUCCAGCUUGUCUGAAUUAUUCACCCAUGUCUUUUGCGCACUUCUUGUUUCCUGGGCGGGUUCGCCCGCCACCAGGACCAAACCAUAAACCUUUUUGUAAUUGCAAUCAGCGUCAGUAAACAAUGUAAUUAUUACAACUUUCAACAACGGAUCUCUUGGUUCUGGCAUCGAUGAAGAACGCAGCGAAAUGCGAUACGUAGUGUGAAUUGCAGAAUUCAGUGAAUCAUCGAAUCUUUGAACGCACAUUGCGCCCUUUGGUAUUCCAAAGGGCAUGCCUGUUCGAGCGUCAUUUGUACCCUCAAGCUUUGCUUGGUGUUGGGCGUCUUUGUCUCUCACGAGACUCGCCUUAAAAUGAUUGGCAGCCGACCUACUGGUUUCGGAGCGCAGCACAAUUCUUGCACUUUGAAUCAGCCUUGGUUGAGCAUCCAUCAAGACCACAUUUUCUUAACUUUUGACCUCGGAUCAGGUAGGGAUACCCGCUGAACUUAAGCAUAUCAA